GUUGAACGCUGGCGGCAGGCCUAACACAUGCAAGUCGAGCGGAUGAAGGGAGCUUGCUGCUGGAUGCAGCGUCGGACGGGUGCGUAAUGCCUAGGAAUCUGCCUGGUAGUGGUGGAUAACGUCCGGCAACGGGCGCUAAUACCGCAUACGUCCUGAGGGGGAAAGUGGGGGAUCUUCGGACGUCACGCUAUCAGAUGAGGCCAGGUCGGAUUAGCUAGUUGGUGGGUUAAAGGCCUACCAAGGCGACGAUCCGUAGCUGGUCGGACAGGAUGAUCAGUCACACGGGAACGGAGACACGGCCCAGACGACGACGGGAGGCAGCAGUAGGGAAGCUGCGGCAAUGGGCGAAAGUUGGACGGAGCAAGGCCGCGUGAGUGAGGAAGGCCUUCGGGUCGUAAAGCUCUGUGGCCAGGGAAGAACGGGUAGGGGAGUAACUGCCCUUGCCAUGACGGUACCUAAGAAGAAAGCCCCGGCUAACUACGUG
RNAcentral lists this ribosomal RNA (484 nucleotides) under uncultured bacterium. Its description in RNAcentral is "partial 16S ribosomal RNA". It matches the Rfam family "Bacterial small subunit ribosomal RNA", at positions 28 to 507 of the family's 1533-position model. The record is from RNAcentral.